UACGGAGGGCGCAAGCGUUGUUCGGAAUUACUGGGCGUAAAGCGCGUGUAGGCGGCCAGGUAAGUCGGAUGUGAAAGCCCGGGGCUCAACCCCGGGACUGCACCCGAUACUGCCUGGCUGGAGUCCCGGAGAGGAUGGCGGAAUUUCCGGUGUAGAGGUGAAAUUCGUAGAUAUCGGAAGGAACACCAGUGGCGAAGGCGGCCAUCUGGACGGUGACUGACGCUGAGACGCUAAAGCGUGGGGAUCAAACAGG
This 253-nucleotide ribosomal RNA is filed under the name uncultured bacterium. Its description in RNAcentral is "partial 16S ribosomal RNA". It matches the Rfam family "Bacterial small subunit ribosomal RNA", at positions 524 to 776 of the family's 1533-position model. The record is from RNAcentral.